UGUUCUUUAGUCUGCAUUACCAAAGGCUUGAAAAGCCAGAAGACUUUAAUCUCUUUAAGAAAAGACAGUUGUGUACUUUGCAGAACUGAAUUUGUUGCCUUGCCAUUUCUUGUAGGUCAUAAUUGUUUUAGGAGUUGAACUCGGUGAUCAUUAUGGGUCCCUUCCAACUCAGGACAGUCAAUGAUUCUAGGAACAAGCUGCAUUCAGCCUGAAGUUAAACACGCAUACAUCCAGCACACAUUACAUCUAGAAUAUCACUUAGGGGAAGAAAUGACCAUGACAGAAGAAGGUUCAAGUGCAUAAGAGACAAAAUACUGCUAAGCAUCAAGCAGGUGUAAGCUUCAAUAUUUAGGAGAGCAUGGAAGGGAAGAGAUCCCUAUGGAGCUGCAGCUUACAGAACAAACAGGUUGUGGUCUCUAGUAAGAUAAAAGUUGCCUCUCCCUGUUAGCAAAAUCCUUCUUCUUUUUACUGAUUCCUAAGGGAAGGGGCAGAAAUAGGGCAGACUCUUGCUGAGACAGUACACUUUCCAGGAAGGUUUCCUUGUUCCUCUCCCCGCACUACAGGCGUGCACACAUGAAACUACUGGAAAUCUCACCUUUAACUAGGAGGAAUAGUUAGUACUGCAAACCAAAGGAAAAAGGCCAACUAGGGGAAAAAAAUUAAGAAAAGACUGUUCUGCUUACUCAAGCUGCUAAGCAUACCCACUAGAAAGCACUCCUCUGUCUCAUGUCUUUUAGAAGGCGGAUUCUAUGUUUGGCACUCCUAAUGAUGUAAACUCCUCUUCUGGAAAACACAUUCCAUCGGCAGGGCAAAGGGAGCAUCACAAGCAGAGUGCAGGCUGGGGUGAAGAAGAUCUAGAAAUUUGUUCUGAGCUCCUUCCUGUCCAUUUCCUGUGGGAGAAUCCCUACUGCAGAGGAGCAUACCGACCUGUCACGUUCACUCCUCUUCCACCAAACACUUCUGAGGCCAGUUCUUCUUGAAAGCUGUCUCAGUGAGCACACAGCAGAAAAACAAAUGUGCUACUCCUGGCCCAGGUUUGAAAAUGAUGUUUUCUUAUUUUCCAACUUGAAAUAGAGAUCUGUUCCAGACAUAUUUGAAGAUAGGCUGUAUUGUUACUGUCCAGGAGUAAACAAGGCAGUUUCUUCCAGUACGAUAAAAGCUUUCACAGUUUUUAUAAUAAAAACAUGCUAGAUUAAAUCGACCUCUCUAUC
This 1211-nucleotide long non-coding RNA is filed under the name Numida meleagris (helmeted guineafowl). RNAcentral's name for it is "lncRNA (ENSNMEG00000010474.1)". Lineage: Eukaryota; Metazoa; Chordata; Aves; Galliformes; Numididae. The record is from RNAcentral.